Acanthosepion pharaonis is the source of this 111-nucleotide non-coding RNA. NCBI's taxonomy places the organism in Eukaryota, Metazoa, Mollusca, Cephalopoda, Sepiida, Sepiidae. The record is from the annotation of a GenBank genome assembly.
AUGGCCAUAUCACGUUGAAAAACCGGUUCCCGUACGUUUUCCGUAGUUAAGCAACGUCGAGUUUGGUCAUACCUUUAUGGAUGACCGUUUGGGAAUACCAGGUGCUGUAAG